RNAcentral lists this ribosomal RNA (687 nucleotides) under Salmonella enterica subsp. enterica serovar 4,[5],12:i:-. RNAcentral's name for it is "bacterial SSU rRNA". It matches the Rfam family "Bacterial small subunit ribosomal RNA", at positions 835 to 1522 of the family's 1533-position model. The record is from RNAcentral. Lineage: Bacteria; Pseudomonadati; Pseudomonadota; Gammaproteobacteria; Enterobacterales; Enterobacteriaceae.
AGGCGUGGCUUCCGGAGCUAACGCGUUAAGUAGACCGCCUGGGGAGUACGGCCGCAAGGUUAAAACUCAAAUGAAUUGACGGGGGCCCGCACAAGCGGUGGAGCAUGUGGUUUAAUUCGAUGCAACGCGAAGAACCUUACCUGGUCUUGACAUCCACAGAAGAAUCCAGAGAUGGAUUUGUGCCUUCGGGAACUGUGAGACAGGUGCUGCAUGGCUGUCGUCAGCUCGUGUUGUGAAAUGUUGGGUUAAGUCCCGCAACGAGCGCAACCCUUAUCCUUUGUUGCCAGCGAUUAGGUCGGGAACUCAAAGGAGACUGCCAGUGAUAAACUGGAGGAAGGUGGGGAUGACGUCAAGUCAUCAUGGCCCUUACGACCAGGGCUACACACGUGCUACAAUGGCGCAUACAAAGAGAAGCGACCUCGCGAGAGCAAGCGGACCUCAUAAAGUGCGUCGUAGUCCGGAUUGGAGUCUGCAACUCGACUCCAUGAAGUCGGAAUCGCUAGUAAUCGUGGAUCAGAAUGCCACGGUGAAUACGUUCCCGGGCCUUGUACACACCGCCCGUCACACCAUGGGAGUGGGUUGCAAAAGAAGUAGGUAGCUUAACCUUCGGGAGGGCGCUUACCACUUUGUGAUUCAUGACUGGGGUGAAGUCGUAACAAGGUAACCGUAGGGGAACCUGCGGUUGGA